CGGCCACCGGGACGCAUCGAUCUUCGGACCGCAACACGGUCGCCGCACCGGCCCAGCAACGGGGCCGGAAGGUCCGAGGGGAGCGAGUGGCGAGACCGACCCGGCCUG
Molecule: non-coding RNA, 108 nt
Filed under: unclassified sequences
Description: c-di-GMP sequence
Rfam family: c-di-GMP-II-GAG riboswitch aptamer
Source: Rfam by way of RNAcentral